RNAcentral lists this ribosomal RNA (382 nucleotides) under uncultured eukaryote. RNAcentral's name for it is "partial 18S ribosomal RNA". It matches the Rfam family "Eukaryotic small subunit ribosomal RNA", at positions 592 to 976 of the family's 1831-position model. The record is from RNAcentral.
UGUAAGCGUAUACCAAAGUUGUUGCAGUUAAAACGCUCGUAGUCGGAAUUUGGCAGUUCCGGAUGUGUGCUCGUCGUGUGCGCACUUCGCGGGGAUUGCUUUUGUGGUCUUGCGUAGGAUGAGGCACUUUUAUUAGUGAACGUCCUCACGCAACCACUUUUUACUGUGAGAAAAUCAGAGUGCUCAAAGCAGGCAUUUGCCGUGAAUGUAUUAGCAUGGAAUAAUAGAAUAGGACUUGGUUCUAUUUUGUUGGUUUGUUGGGACUGAGUAAUGAUUAAGAGGGACAGUUGGGGGCAUUUGUAUUUCGGUGCUAGAGGUGAAAUUCUUAGAUUACCGAAAGACAAACUGCUGCGAAAGCGUCUGCCAAGGAUGUUUUCAUUGA